RNAcentral lists this ribosomal RNA (1437 nucleotides) under uncultured organism. RNAcentral describes it as "16S ribosomal RNA". It matches the Rfam family "Bacterial small subunit ribosomal RNA". The record is from RNAcentral.
CAGGCUUAACACAUGCAAGUCGAGGGGCAGCAUGGUCUUAGCUUGCUAAGGCCGAUGGCGACCGGCGCACGGGUGAGUAACACGUAUCCAACCUGCCGUCUACUCUUGGACAGCCUUCUGAAAGGAAGAUUAAUACAAGAUGGCAUCAUGAGUCCGCAUGUUCACAUGAUUAAAGGUAUUCCGGUAGACGAUGGGGAUGCGUUCCAUUAGAUAGUAGGCGGGGUAACGGCCCACCUAGUCUUCGAUGGAUAGGGGUUCUGAGAGGAAGGUCCCCCACAUUGGAACUGAGACACGGUCCAAACUCCUACGGGAGGCAGCAGUGAGGAAUAUUGGUCAAUGGGCGAGAGCCUGAACCAGCCAAGUAGCGUGAAGGAUGACUGCCCUAUGGGUUGUAAACUUCUUUUAUAAAGGAAUAAAGUCGGGUAUGGAUACCCGUUUGCAUGUACUUUAUGAAUAAGGAUCGGCUAACUCCGUGCCAGCAGCCGCGGUAAUACGGAGGAUCCGAGCGUUAUCCGGAUUUAUUGUGUUUAAAGGGAGCGUAGAUGGAUGUUUAAGUCAGUUGUGAAAGUUUGCGGCUCAACCGUAAAAUUGCAGUUGAUACUGGAUAUCUUGAGUGCAGUUGAGGCAGGCGGAAUUCGUGGUGUAGCGGUGAAAUGCUUAGAUAUCACGAAGAACUCCGAUUGCGAAGGCAGCCUGCUAAGCUGCAACUGACAUUGAGGCUCGAAAGUGUGGGUAUCAAACAGGAUUAGAUACCCUGGUAGUCCACACGGUAAACGAUGAAUACUCGCUGUUUGCGAUAUACUGCAAGCGGCCAAGCGAAAGCGUUAAGUAUUCCACCUGGGGAGUACGCCGGCAACGGUGAAACUCAAAGGAAUUGACGGGGGCCCGCACAAGCGGAGGAACAUGUGGUUUAAUUCGAUGAUACGCGAGGAACCUUACCCGGGCUUAAAUUGCAGAUGAAUUACGGUGAAAGCCGUAAGCCGCAAGGCAUCUGUGAAGGUGCUGCAUGGUUGUCGUCAGCUCGUGCCGUGAGGUGUCGGCUUAAGUGCCAUAACGAGCGCAACCCUUGUUGUCAGUUACUAACAGGUUCCGCUGAGGACUCUGACAAGACUGCCAUCGUAAGAUGUGAGGAAGGUGGGGAUGACGUCAAAUCAGCACGGCCCUUACGUCCGGGGCUACACACGUGUUACAAUGGGGGGUACAGAGGGCUGCUACCACGCGAGUGGAUGCCAAUCCCCAAAACCUCUCUCAGUUCGGACUGGAGUCUGCAACCCGACUCCACGAAGCUGGAUUCGCUAGUAAUCGCGCAUCAGCCACGGCGCGGUGAAUACGUUCCCGGGCCUUGUACACACCGCCCGUCAAGCCAUGGGAGCCGGGGGUACCUGAAGUGCGUAACCGCGAGGAGCGCCCUAGGGUAAAACUGGUGACUGGGGCUAA